GACGAACGCUGGCGGCGUGCUUAACACAUGCAAGUCGAACGGAAAGGCCCUGCUUUUGUGGGGUGCUCGAGUGGCGAACGGGUGAGUAACACGUGAGUAACCUGCCCUUGACUUUGGGAUAACUUCAGGAAACUGGGGUUAAUACCGGAUAGGAGCUCCUCUUGCGUGGUGGGGGUUGGAAAGUUUCGGCGGUUGGGGAUGGACUCGCGGCUUAUCAGCUAGUUGGUGGGGUAGUGGCUUACCAAGGCUUUGACGGAUAGCCGGCCUGAGAGGGUGAACGGGCACAUUGGGACUGAGAGAGGGCCCAGACUCGUACGGGAGGCAACAGUGGCGAAUAUUGCACAGUGGGCGGAAGCCUGAUGCAGAGGCGCCGCGUUCGGGAUGACGGCCUUCGGGGUGAGAACCGCUUUCGCCUGUGACGAAGCGUUAGUGACGGUAAUGGGUAAAGAAGCACCGGCUAACUACGUG
This 468-nucleotide ribosomal RNA is filed under the name uncultured bacterium. RNAcentral describes it as "partial 16S ribosomal RNA". It matches the Rfam family "Bacterial small subunit ribosomal RNA", at positions 28 to 507 of the family's 1533-position model. The record is from RNAcentral.